Molecule: ribosomal RNA, 540 nt
Filed under: uncultured Geobacteraceae bacterium
Lineage: Bacteria; Pseudomonadati; Thermodesulfobacteriota; Desulfuromonadia; Geobacterales; Geobacteraceae
Description: bacterial SSU rRNA
Rfam family: Bacterial small subunit ribosomal RNA
Source: RNAcentral
GAGUUUGAUCCUGGCUCAGAACGAACGCUGGCGGCGUGCCUAACACAUGCAAGUCGAACGUGAUCCAGAGCUUGCUCUGGUGAAAGUGGCGCACGGGUGAGUAACGCGUGGAUAACCUACCCUGGUAUCCGGGAUAACAUUCCGAAAGGGGUGCUAAUACCGGAUAAGCCCACGGGCUCUUUGGAACUUGCGGGAAAAGGUGGCCUCUAUUUAUAAGCUACUGUAUCAGGAUGGGUCCGCGUACCAUUAGCUAGUUGGCGGUGUAACGGACCACCAAGGCGACGAUGGUUAGCUGGUCUGAGAGGAUGAUCAGCCACACUGGAACUGAGACACGGUCCAGACUCCUACGGGAGGCAGCAGUGGGGAAUUUUGCGCAAUGGGGGAAACCCUGACGCAGCAACGCCGCGUGAGUGAUGAAGGCCUUUGGGUCGUAAAGCUCUGUCAGAGGGGAAGAAAUGAUAUAGUGCUAAUACCACUUUAUCUUGACGGUACCCUCAAAGGAAGCACCGGCUAACUCCGUGCCAGCAGCCGCGGUAAUAC